UCGUUUUGUGACUAAUAUUGUCAUUUCCUUUCCUGAAAGAAUACUUUAGACAUGAACACCCAAACCCUAGCUUUCUGCUCUCCCGAGGGGCGUCUGGCCCCUGAUUCAUUUAGGAUCUCCCAUGGAGAUCGCAUCGCGGGUGUGGUUGUUCCGGUUAUAGGCUUCGCUGCAGCCGCUCUGUGGCCGGAGAUUGAGGCGGCCCUUCGCGGAGAUGGCCACCGCGAACCCCUUCGACUUCGUCGGCAGUAGCGAAGCUUUCCGCAAGAACUUUUCUCCACCUUGUUCAAUCCGGUUAGUACCAAUCGCAUUUGGUUUGGUUCAGCGCGGUGCUUUUCGAAAGGUCGACCUUUGUGAUGUUUCCUAUCGAAUUUUGGGUCUUGUGUGGUCUCCGUUGAAAUUUGAUCUUUUUUCAAUGACCUAAUGUCCUAAGCGAAGCUUCCGAGUGUGUUUGGCAUAUAGUGAGGGAGGCGAGAAAUGCUGCACCAUCACGCGGUGGUGCUGGCCGUGGCGAAACAAGGGAUGGAAGAGGUGGUCGAAGUGGCGGGACGUGCCCAAAUCGUUACUUUGGACAUGGCAACGCCAAUAGGAUCUCUAAGGAAUAUGGCGGUGGUAGUGGUGGUAGCGAUAGGCUUCUGGAGAGGGAACGCCCGCCGUGUCAGCCAUUUGGUGGUGGCCACGUGGUAGAUAUGGGGGCAGUGGUGGCAGUGGGAUUGAGGACUCUGGAGGUGACUCUGAACGGUCCUCACGUAGGUUGUAUGAGUGGCGCAGUGGCACAGGCUGAGGUUAUGAGACUAAACGCCAUGGGGCAGGACUUGGUAACUGUGGCACAGUUAAGAUUUCCUCUUCGUUUGUGAUUCAUGAUAUACUCGGAAGAAUUUUGGUGAAGGUAUGUUUGCAGUUGCCAUCACUGAUCUUGUUACGUUUGUGGAACUGUAUUAGAAGACAGUGAGAAGGAUGAUGUUUCUAAUGCCAAUAAGACUCUUGCAACCGAAAAGCAGCUAGAACACGAAAAAACCACCAACAGAUAUGAGCAAGGACAAUAAGUAGGGUGUGCCUCCUGAGACAGGAGAAAAGGAGGAUAAGGUGUUGGGAUAUAUUAGAACGAACAUUUAUUCUGCCUAGUUUCCUACUCAUUCAAAUGUUUCUUUAGUAUGUGUGGCAUCUCUUUACCAACAGGAUCCAUGUAUAUAUAGACACAUAAUGUUUCUUUUUCCUUCUUUUGCUAAUUUGAACGUAGUGGUUCAUUUACCACCAUACUGAGGUUGCAAAUUGUUAUUGUUGUUUUUCCUAGUUUUUGUCUGUAUACAGCAACUACCAUAAUGUCUAGCUUCUCAAAAUUCUUCUUAACAUUGAGCUCUAUGUAAGUGACCAUCAGUAGUCACACCAAGAGCAAACAAAUAUUUUUUUUAUCUGCAGUAAAAUUUCUUUGGUCUCCCUUAAUCUCUCCUCAUGUUACUAAUCUCAGUCAACUCAUCUUAUUUAUUGAGACAACCAAGAUCUCCUUUGGAUUGUUUGUUCAAUUUGAAAUCUUCUUUCUCAUAGUAUGGUGGGUUUUAUUAAAGAAAGGUAUAUCCAUAAAUUAUAUUGAUAUUAAAUAUAUGUAUGAUAAUGUAAUUAUUAGUGUUAGAACUAUAGGAAGUGUGUCUAUUGAAUUUUCUAUUAGCAUAGUAUUGCAUCAAUGAUUCGCAUAAAGUCCCUACCUUUUCACAUUGAUAAUGGAUGAACUUACUGGUCACUUAUAUGAUAGAGCUCCCUAGUGUAUGUUAUUUGUUGAUGAUAUUGUCUUAGUUGAUGAGAGCGUAAGUGGAAUUAAUUAUAUAUGUGAGCUAUGGAGACAAUCAUUAGAAACUAAAGAUUUUAGAUUUAAUAGGACCAAAGCUGAAUAUAUGAGAUGUAAUUUUAGUAAUCUUAAAAUUAGACAGAAUAAUAUAGAUAAGUUGGAUGAAUAAUAAGUUCCUUUAAGUAAAACCCUUAGGUAUCUUGGAUCAAUUAUUCAACAAGAUGGAGAGAUCGAUGAAGAUAUUAUUUAUAAAGUAAAAACAUAAUGAUUAAAAUGGCAAGGGACAUUAGGAGUCUUAUCUGAAUAUCAGAUACCUUUGAGAUUAAAGAAAGAUUUUAUAAAAUCGUUGUAAGACCAAUAAUACUUUAUGGAUCUGAGUGUUGGGUAGUUAAGAAAUAACAUAUACAAAAAAUUUAUGUUGCCGAGAUGAGAACGUUAAGAUGGAUGUGUGGAGUUAUUAGGAAAGAUAGAAAAAGAAAUAUUGUUAUUUGUGAACAACUAAGUAACGCAAUAGAGGACAAUCAUUUAAGAUGAUAUAUACAUGUGUUUAGGAGACUUCUAGAUAUGAUAGUCAGAAGAGAUAAAAUGAUUAAUGUUAAUGAUACGAAAGAAAUAAAGGAAGACUUAAAGACUUUAAUAGAAACUAUAAAUAAAGAUUUAAGUACUCUGAACUUAACUAAACAUAUGAUUUUUUACAGAUCUCAAUGAUGAUAAAAGAUCCAUGUAGUCGACCUCAAAUAAUUGGGCUUACGGUCUUGUUGUUAUUGUCGUAUGCUUUGUUGUGACUAAAAGUAAUAAUUCAUGAAUUUGAGCACUUAUUCCACUUUUUGCUUCAAUUUAUUUCAGUUAUAUUUUUUUAUGUUUUUGAUUGCUCAAAUAAUUUGGAUAACUGAUCAUCUUUCUGUAGUUGUAGUUUCCAGGUUGAAGUCUUUGUGCUGUAAUUUAAUGCUUUUGUACAUCUAUGUUGUAAUUUGGCUUGAUAUUAAUUGUUUAUUUCUUUACUUCAAGUUUCCAUUGUUUAAGCUAAGUAGCUAAUAGUUAUAAUUGCAUGGUAACUGGAACAGAAACUGUUUAGUAUUUAAUUCUUUGAAAACUUGCUCUUGUGCUAUGCUUACUAGAAAAUGAACGAAGUAUAAUGACUGUAACUUCGAAUGGCACAUAUACACAUUAAACUGUCUAUUUAUGUAUUACCCUUUUAGAAUGUUGUUAUUUGCACACUUUGACAAAUAACUUCACCAUGUCUUGGUUUAGUUCAUUUUGUUUAUUUCAUGACAUAAAAGAUUGAAAUAGGAUUUGUUUAACAUGAAAACGACAAUAUUAAGGGGUAUUUGGCAAUUCCAUGCAGGACUUUUAUUAGUACAGAAGGUUUCAUGUAUUAAUUACACUAAAGGUUUAUUAUCAUAGUUGUUUUAGCUAGUUGACUGAAAAAUCAACAUCUAGGGGUGACGAGUGAACUUAUUCCGAACAUGACAUUUUGAGGAGUAAAUAAUGCACCUCAGGUUAUCUGAAGAAAUCUUUUCAAGGUAUCCUUGAUGUUUGUUCUUCUCUGGUUUGGCUUGUACUACUGUUUGAUGUUGUGGUAAUGCACCUCAGUACUACUGCUUGGUGUGUACAUUGUGUCUAUCUAUUUUGCUUCUGCCACCUGGGAAACGAUGAUGUAGUGUGUGUUGUGUGUAUUAUUUGACUCGUUCAACGUGAUCCCGAAGGGGAUGACUAUGGAAGAGUACGAGAAGACAAGGGAGGAGAAAAGAAAGUCUUUACUUGCAAUAAAAGUCAGAAAGGAAGGUUGAAAUUGACAAAGAUUUGCGGUCUAUGCAGUAACCUUCAACCAAGAAAGGAAAGCCAUGCUGUGUUCGUAUAUGCUUUGUUUUGUUUGUCGUAUUGCUACUAAGGUACAUUACUAAUUUUAUGAUUUCUUUUUGCAAAGGAUAAAUUUUGAUCCUAUAUCAUAGGAUGAUUUGAUAAAGUUUUUAUUAAUCAAACUAGCUAGCAUGUUCAUUUUUA
Musa acuminata AAA Group (dessert banana) is the source of this 3784-nucleotide long non-coding RNA. RefSeq lists it as uncharacterized. The transcript is spliced from 2 exons. Lineage: Eukaryota; Viridiplantae; Streptophyta; Magnoliopsida; Zingiberales; Musaceae. The record is from RefSeq and is a predicted model, not a curated record.